AGUGGGAUCAUUGGGUAAAAUGGUGGCUCCUUUCCAAGUUUUCUGAGGAAUCUCCAUACUGCUUUCCAAAAUGAUUAUACCAAUUUUCAGUCCCACCAGCAAU
Molecule: microRNA precursor, 103 nt
Filed under: Marmota monax (woodchuck)
Lineage: Eukaryota; Metazoa; Chordata; Mammalia; Rodentia; Sciuridae
Source: RNAcentral